Equus asinus (donkey) is the source of this 2571-nucleotide long non-coding RNA. NCBI's taxonomy places the organism in Eukaryota, Metazoa, Chordata, Mammalia, Perissodactyla, Equidae. The record is from Ensembl.
CUCUAAGGUCAACUCCAUCAUUCUUUUGUUAUGGAACCAGAACUGUAUUUAAUGCUGAGGUAGAGUCAACUCAAGAAGAAAAGGUAUGAAAAAAAUCCAAAUUAGGUAGAAUUUUAAAAACUACGUUUAAGAGCAGUAAUAACUGAAAUGGUAAAAACAUUGCUCAAUACUACUAGAGCCUAGUUAAAGAAAAAAGUUCUUUGGCCAUCUAAUCAAGAAUAAUGCACCCUUCACCCCAAAGAAAGCAUUAAGAGAAAGUGGUCACUUAGCAAGAUGCACACACACGCUAAAUAAGACACAUAGCUUUACAUACAAGAAAUUUUUCUAAAUCUAGGAAAACUGAAUGAUUUCCCAAGGAAAUAUAAAUUUAAUUUAAAAACUAGGGAACACGAACAGGCUAUAACUAAAGAAGAAACUGUAAAGGCAGUAAAAAACACUUGAAGAUAUGCACAUGCACAGAGUUUUAUAGGAGUUUAUCAAACCUUCAAUGAACAGAUGAUUCUCACAUUAUAUAAACUGUUCCACAAGGGAGGAAAACCUGAAAAGCAACUCAUUUUACAAAGCUAUCCUAAGGGUCUCUAAAACUAGACAUAAAUAGCAUAAGAAAACUAAGUCAAUCUCAUUUAUGGGUAGGUAAUAAAUCAUAAACAAAUCAGCAAAUCAGUAUUGAAAGAACAUUCAUAAAUAGGUUUUAUACCAGUUAUUGAAGGGUAAUUUAACAUUAGAAAAUAUAUUAACAUCAUUCACGCCAUUAAAAUUAACAGAUAAUAAAAACUAUUAUUAUUUUCUAAAUCCUCAAAAACUCAUUGGAUAAAUUCAAAAUCUAUUCCUAGGGGUGGCAGGGAGGAAGAGAUUUUUUAGAAAACUAAGAAAAAAGGAAAUUUCCUUAAUUUGAUAAAGGUCAUCUAUAGAAAGGUCAGCAGCCAUCAUACUUAUUUACCAUGACAGUCAGGAAAGAAACAAGGAUGCCUACAACUGUUCUUAGCUAAUGAAAUAAGAUAAAGAAAGAGCUGUUAUUAAAAAUUAGAAAAAUGCACUUGCAGGUAAUAUGAUCAAUCAUCUAAAAAAUCCCAGACUUAAGUAACAAUUUUUUGACUAAUUGAACUCUGCAAAGUAGCUAAACAAAAGUUAAGUGCUUAUUAUUGAUGAAGAACAAAGUAUUUAAAGAAAUGUAAUAGGAAUUUUAGAAAAACAAUUCAUAAGUAGUUUCUAAAAAUAUAGAAAUAGACUUUAAAAAGUAUACAAUACCUAAACGAAAAAACCCAUUUUACUAAAAGAUGUAAAAAUUCUGAAUAAAUGGAGACAGUGUUCUGGACAGAAAGAUUUCCUAUUUUUAAAUCCUUCCCACACAUUAGUCUAGAAAAUCAAUCCAACAUUGAUCAAAAUCCCAAGGGGACUUUUCUGGUACUUUGAUAAGGUGAUUCUCAUGUUAUUAAGCAAAAAAAUAUCCGUAAGAAUUUUUUAAAAAUUGAAAAAGAACAAAUGGGCAACUGACCUGUCAUAUAUCAUAAUAAGAAAUUAUACUAAUCACAAGUUUUCAGUGAGAGAAAAAUCAUGGAAGACUCCCAGGUGCCACUUAAUGAGACAGAACACUGGAGGAGGUGGGAUGGAAGCAGGUGUGGUGGAAGAGGGUGACUUUGUUAAGGUACACUGAUUGUGAGAUGCCCAUUAGACCUCCACAUGGAGAUGUGGACAGACAGCUGGAUGUGUGAGCUUAGUGGAGAGGUCUGGGCUGCAGAGAGUGACAUUUAAAACCGUGGGAUGCAUGGAGCUUUUACUAGAUGUUUGGUUUCCUUCAUGGGAAAUUAUAUAGUUUGAGUUUGCCAGUAAAUUUCAGAAGUUCACCCAUCCCAUCUGCAUUUGUGUUUUCUGAGGAAACAGGCAGAGGUAUAUUUAGAUCAAUUUAGUAGAGGAUUAGAAAAAUUAAUCUCUGUACUUCUUUUAUUAUUCCUGUACUAAUUUCUUCAUUAUUUUAAAGUACUUUUCAUUUUAAUGGCAUUUCUCUUUAAAAUCACUAAUAAACUUUAUCUCCUACAAGGAGGCAAAGCCUCUGACAUUCGAAAUCCCCUCUCCAUUGUCAGAUGGCUCCUUCAUUCCCCCUCAACACACCACAAAUCCCGCCUUGGUCCUGAGUUUACAAAGGCUGUGCCCCGAACUGGCUUCCCAACUACCCUGACCGCUACUCCAUUCUCUAACGACUUGAGAGCUCCAUGAAGUCUGUUCCAGCCCAUGAUCUCUCCUCCCUACCUCCAAAACAUACUCACGUGGUCUUAAUCAUACACUCUCUUGCGCUUUAAACAUUUCUAAUCUAUUCCUCAAACUAUAGGAACCCACUAAGAAAUGUAAAUGAAUUUCCACCUACGAACACCAAAAUAAUGCACUAUUUCUAAUUACAUACUUUGCUUUUUACCUAAAAAGUACAUGAUCCAACUUAAAAUCCACAAAUCAGUUGCAACCAAAUCUAAAUUAAGAGAACUCCAUUGUCGACCUAGAGACCAAACCAGUAAUACUGGGAGACAAGAUGCGGUCAAGCUGAAGGGGCGGCCAAUGCUGGGGGGGAAACUGUACCUU